Molecule: ribosomal RNA, 484 nt
Filed under: uncultured bacterium
Lineage: Bacteria
Description: partial 16S ribosomal RNA
Rfam family: Bacterial small subunit ribosomal RNA
Source: RNAcentral
AUUGAACGCUAGCGGGAUGCUUUACACAUGCAAGUCGAACGGCAGCGCGGACUUCGGUCUGGCGGCGAGUGGCGAACGGGUGAGUAAUGUAUCGGAACGUGCCCAGUAGCGGGGGAUAACUACGCGAAAGCGUAGCUAAUACCGCAUACGCCCUACGGGGGAAAGCAGGGGAUCGUAAGACCUUGCACUAUUGGAGCGGCCGAUAUCGGAUUAGCUAGUUGGUGAGGUAACGGCCCACCAAGGCGACGAUCCGUAGCUGGUUUGAGAGGACGACCAGCCACACUGGGACUGAGACACGGCCCAGACUCCUACGGGAGGCAGCAGUGGGGAAUUUUGGACAAUGGGCGCAACCCUGAUCCAGCCAUCCCGCGUGUGCGAUGAAGGCCUUCGGGUUGUAAAGCACUUUUGGCAGGGAAGAAACGUCGCGGGCUAAUACCCCGUGGAACUGACGGUACCUGCAGAAUAAGCACCGGCUAACUACGUG